AUUGAACGCUGGCGGCAUGCUUUACACAUGCAAGUCGAGCGGCAGCGCGGGGGCAACCCUGGCGGCGAGCGGCGAACGGGUGAGUAAUGCAUCGGAACGUACCCUGGAGUGGGGGAUAACGCCGCGAAAGCGGCGCUAAUACCGCAUAUGCUCUGAGGAGGAAAGUGGGGGACCGCAAGGCCUCACGCUCUGGGAGCGGCCGAUGUCCGAUUAGCUAGUUGGUGAGGUAAAGGCUUACCAAGGCGACGAUCGGUAGCUGGUCUGAGAGGAUGAUCAGCCACACUGGGACUGAGACACGGCCCAGACUCCUACGGGAGGCAGCAGUGGGGAAUUUUGGACAAUGGGGGCAACCCUGAUCCAGCCAUGCCGCGUGAGUGAAGAAGGCCUCGGUGUAAGCUCUUUGGUCGGAGAAGUGCCUGCUAAUAC
This 426-nucleotide ribosomal RNA is filed under the name uncultured bacterium. RNAcentral describes it as "bacterial SSU rRNA". It matches the Rfam family "Bacterial small subunit ribosomal RNA", at positions 28 to 460 of the family's 1533-position model. The record is from RNAcentral.